This 450-nucleotide ribosomal RNA is filed under the name uncultured bacterium. RNAcentral's name for it is "partial 16S ribosomal RNA". It matches the Rfam family "Bacterial small subunit ribosomal RNA", at positions 354 to 796 of the family's 1533-position model. The record is from RNAcentral.
GUGGGGAAUUUUGGACAAUGGGCGCAAGCCUGAUCCAGCCAUUCCGCGUGCAGGAUGAAGGCCUUCGGGUUGUAAACUGCUUUUGUACGGAACGAAAAGCCUCUGGUUAAUACCCGGGGGUCAUGACGGUACCGUAAGAAUAAGCACCGGCUAACUACGUGCCAGCAGCCGCGGUAAUACGUAGGGUGCGAGCGUUAAUCGGAAUUACUGGGCGUAAAGCGGGCGCAGGCGGUGAUGUAAGACAGUUGUGAAAUCCCCGGGCUCAACCUGGGAACUGCAUUUGUGACUGUAUAGCUAGAGUACGGUAGAGGGGGAUGGAAUUCCGCGUGUAGCAGUGAAAUGCGUAGAUAUGCGGAGGAACACCGAUGGCGAAGGCAAUCCCCUGGACCUGUACUGACGCUCAUGCACGAAAGCGUGGGGAGCAAACAGGAUUAGAAACCCUGGUAGUCC